This 1397-nucleotide ribosomal RNA is filed under the name uncultured bacterium. RNAcentral's name for it is "bacterial SSU rRNA". It matches the Rfam family "Bacterial small subunit ribosomal RNA". The record is from RNAcentral.
UUAGAGUUUGAUCCUGGCUCAGGAUGAACGCUAGCGGCAGGCUUAACACAUGCAAGUCGAGGGGCAGCAUGGGAGUAGCAAUACUUCUGAUGGCGACCGGCGCACGGGUGCGUAACGCGUAUGCAACCUACCUGUAACAGGGGGAUAACACUGAGAAAUCGGUACUAAUACCGCAUAACACUAUGAGAGGCAUCUCUUGUGGUUGAAAGUUUCGGCGGUUACAGAUGGGCAUGCGUUGUAUUAGCUGGUUGGUAAGGUAACGGCUUACCAAGGCGACGAUACAUAGGGGGACUGAGAGGUUAACCCCCCACAUUGGUACUGAGACACGGACCAAACUCCUACGGGAGGCAGCAGUGAGGAAUAUUGGUCAAUGGACGGAAGUCUGAACCAGCCAUGCCGCGUGCAGGAAGACGGCUCUAUGAGUUGUAAACUGCUUUUGUACAAGGGUAAACCUGAAUACGUGUAUUCAGCUGAAAGUACUGUACGAAUAAGGAUCGGCUAACUCCGUGCCAGCAGCCGCGGUAAUACGGAGGAUCCAAGCGUUAUCCGGAUUUAUUGGGUUUAAAGGGUGCGUAGGCGGAUUGAUAAGUUAGAGGUGAAAUGUCCGAGCUCAACUCGGGAACUGCCUCUAAUACUGUUGAUCUAGAGAGUAGAUGCGGUAGGCGGAAUGUAUGGCGUAGCGGUGAAAUGCUUAGAGAUCAUACAGAACACCGAUUGCGAAGGCAGCUUACCAAUCUAUAUCUGACGUUGAGGCACGAAAGCGUGGGGAGCAAACAGGAUUAGAUACCCUGGUAGUCCACGCAGUAAACGAUGAUAGCUCGUUGUCGGCGAUACACAGUCGGUGACUAAGAGAAAUCGAUAAGCUAUCCACCUGGGGAGUACGUUCGCAAGAAUGAAACUCAAAGGAAUUGACGGGGGCCCGCACAAGCGGAGGAACAUGUGGUUUAAUUCGAUGAUACGCGAGGAACCUUACCCGGGCUUGAAAGUUAGUGACUGAUCUGGAAACAGGUCUUCCCUUCGGGGCACGAAACUAGGUGCUGCAUGGUUGUCGUCAGCUCGUGCCGUGAGGUGUCGGGUUAAGUCCCAUAACGAGCGCAACCCCUACUGAUAGUUGCCAUCAGGUCAAGCUGGGCACUCUAUCGGGACUGCCGGUGUAAGCCGGAGGAGGGUGGGGAUGACGUCAAAUCAGCACGGCCCUUACGUCCGGGGCGACACACGUGUUACAAUGGUAGGUACAGAGGGCAGCUACCCAGCGAUGGGGUGCAAAUCUCGAAAGCCUAUCUCAGUUCGGAUUGGAGGCUGAAACUCGCCUCCAUGAAGUUGGAUUCGCCAGUAAUCGCGCAUCAGCCAUGGCGCGGUGAAUACGUUCCCGGGCCUUGCACUCACCGCCCGUCAAG